CUCACCCUCUCUCUCUCUCUCUCCUCUCUCUCUCCCUCUCCCUCUCUCUCUCUCUCUUUUAAAAAAUCAGCCAUUUGGGGUUUUAAGCCAUAAACGAUUUUUCUUGUUGCAGGGGAUUGCAGAGGCAAAGCUAGGCUAGGUCUUGGAGGCUGGUGUAAGGCGGUGCGGGUAAGCAGGACGCUGAUGGGAGAGACUGGUCGAAGAAAAGCCGAAAUGGAUUCUCCGUGCCUCGGAUGGAGGAAGAGAGGGGGAAGUACGAGCUCCUUCAACUCGUUCUGUCCGGUGAGGAGUGAUCCAGCUUGGGCUGACAAGAGGCUCCGGAGCCUUCACGUUCAGUGCUUUUUUACCUGCCAAUCAAACUGCUACAAGACAACACCCUGAUCUGGCAUGGUCGUAUCAAACCUAGAAAUUACAUUCUCCUCAAGAUCCAUUUAAGAGAAUCUGGCUGGUUGCUUUGGUCUGAGAGUUCAGACAUCUCUUGCUAAGAAACUAAGAAUGACCUCAUUUUCCAUUUGCUGGGUCCUCCUGUUUUGUCAUCCCUGGGCUCUGUAAGAAGCUUGCCAGGAGGUCCCCAGCGCUGGAAGGACCAUGUGAGUUCAUCUCAGACAAUGGGUGGCACCACGGUUUUAGUGACUCACACAGUGGAGAACCACAUUCUCUCUGUGGACGAUCUUGGCAACAUGUAUUUGGUAACACAGCAAGGUAUUUUAUCUACACAUAUGUCUGUGUACCAUGUGCAUGCCCGGUACCCAUGGAAGUCAGAAGAGAGCAUUGGAUUUCCUGGGACUUAAGUUACAGACAGGUGUAAGCUGCUGUGUGGUUAUUGGGAAUUGUACCUGGGUCCUCUGAAAGAGUGGCCAGUGGUCCUAAUUGGCUGAGCCGCCUCUCCAGCCCUGAAUGUUGUCUUUAAUGUACAUAUUAUUUUUGUGAAGUUGUUUCUUACAAGAUAAAGUAUGUAAUAACAAGUCUUGGGUUUUUCCCCCCUAAUUUUAUUAUUUCAAGGGAAGCACAGUGAAGACUCUUCACUGAAGGGGAAAAAGUCCCCUGAGCCUGUUUUUGAAUUUAAAAAUGUUUAUUUAGAGAUUUCCUCCGAUAGGUAGAAUUUAUGCUGGGUCUUAUUUCAAAGCCGAUUAUUCUCUGGGAGGAGAAGGACAAUAUUAGGAUUUCAAAGACAAUCACGUUGUGUAAAAAGAUUUGCUUGUGCCUCAUUCAUAUGUUGUCAACAAUAUGACCCAAAAAAUAGGAAGAAAGAGAGAAAAAAAUGACACGGAGCAAACAUAAAAACACUAUCUGCUUCAAACAUCAAACUUUUUAGUUUGAAAGAGCAUCUUUUAGGUCUUUAUCAAUAUCCAAAUUAUAAACAAGUCAAAGGUGUCUUUCUUGUUCUUUUGGAAAACAUUAACUGUGAUACACAUCUCUGUGAGGUAGGUUUUAACAUAUUUUUUCCUAUUUUUCCCCCUACCCCAUUCAGUAAGAAGGAUAAGCCUUUAGAGUAUCCAGUCACCGUGGUAACUGCCAAAAAAAUUCUCCUGAAGUUUGAAGAGGUCAGUUCUUGGGGUCGACAACUCUGCCCUCUCUCUGAGCCCAAGCAGUGCCCGUCCUGUGGUUGGAGUGUCAGGCCAGAUCUGACCGUGGGAGGUGCUCCACUCUGGCUUGGAGAGAAAUUUUUUGAGUCAGUUCAUGGCCUAGACUCUCCAGGUGGCCUCCAAAAUCAAUUCUGACCUCCUGACCCUGUCUCACAGAGGCAUAGCAUGCACCCUAAAUAAGGAUUUAGUCAGAGACGACAGCAUUUGCUGAAUGUUAUUGGGGACAGUAUAAACACUUUGAGAGGCAAGUGAGGGGUUGUCAGCCCCAGAAAUCAUUAAAGCUCACGGACCAAAACAAGGAACUCUGCUUUCAAAAGUUACAAGUGCUCAUGUAUCUGAUUCAGAUUCCCUACCUGACUAACAUCAGUUUUAUGUAAAUAAUAAAACAAACAUUGUUACUCUUUUAUAUAUUUUGCUACAAAUAUGCAAAUAAGAUAGAAAACUCUUCAAGGAACUAGAGGAAACACGGGCAAGUAUCCUGCAGUAGAGAAGAAAGCUAAUUAUUAACAUUCACUAGUAAACAAAGAACUUGUAACAUUGUUAAGUAGUAAAGUAUGGACCUGUUUUGGAAUGUUUUAAAGGAGGAAUUUUGACAGCAAUGCCUUCUCUGGACAAAUCUGGGCAGUGGGGAUUUAUGAUGGAGUUGUCUGCCUCACUCCCUUUGCUACUUUGUAAAGCAAAUGACUAAUAGCCUCCAUUUGGAUACAAAGUAGAGAAAAUGUGUAAGUAAGUAAAAUAACAUCACACAUAGCUAAAGAAGAAGAAGAGGAAAAAGGAGAGAGAGAGAGAAAGAGAGAGAGAGAGAGAGAAAGAGAGAGAGCGCAGUUACAAGUAGCCAACAGUUUAGCAAGCCUGGAGAAUAAAACUAAGGUGUAUAUAUGCUUGUGAUUCUGUGUGUGCAAGCUGUCUGGGGCAUGCACACUUAUAUACCCUGUGAUUCUAUUACUGCGUGCACAUGUGUAUAUGUGCGCACACACACUCUUUCGUUUUUUUAGAAUGCAUCACUCCAGUUUCAUUUUUCCUGGGAGAGCACCAGUCCUGGCCACUCACUGAAAGAAGCCCAGAAGGGGCUCUGCCUUGACCCCCACUGAGCUCCCCCUCAAUCCCUGUUUGCUGUUCCCCCUUUGCUGGCUCUGCAAAUGGCAAGUUCCUUCCCCAUAGGAAACAGCUGCCGUGCCUUUCCAUCUGAUUCUUUUGUGGACAUUCUAAGUGAGGCUCAAUAUCCUUUGGGGUGCAGACUGGGAGGGGGUGCUCUACACACACACUUCCUGCUCCAAGGCCUGGGCCUUACUAGGCUUCUCACUCCAUUAAAUCCCUAUUAUAAAACGUAUCUCCACAAAGCCUAUUAUAGUAUUCUGAGAACAAACUGGACCAUGAAUAACUUAGUUGGAAGUGUAGAUUAUUUUCUACUCAGGAAAAGUUAGACAUGACAACAGCUUAGCUAGGAGAACAGUGGUUAAUCUUAAAUAGUCGGACUCAGAGUUCAAUAAAGAGUACCUCUGCUGUUUCCUCCUCACCCUCACGACACACUUCUUUGUCUUAAGCAUGUCCCCAUGAUGCCAUUGUUCCCCAGCACAGCAUAGAGCUCACAGGGAUGAUGUCCUUUUAGCGGUGGAUCUGUAGACAGAUAGAUUGCUCAAGGGGCCCCUGUACUCUGAUGUGGGGUGAAAUGAUAGGAACAGGAUCAAUCUCCCAAUUAAAUACAAUUAUGUUUACUUUUUUUUUUUUUUUUUUUUUUUCAUGGAGUCCAGGCAUGAUGGCAUGGUGGUUCCCUUCUUGAAUCACAACACUCCUGAGGUGGAGGGCAGACAGAUCUCUGUGAGUUUAAGGCAGGUCUGGUCUAUGCAGUGAGUUCCAGGAUAGCCAAGUUACAUAGUAGAAUCCUGCCUCCAGAAGGGGGAGGGGAGGGGGAGGAAGAGGAGGAGGAAG
Molecule: long non-coding RNA, 3515 nt
Organism: Arvicanthis niloticus (Nile rat)
Lineage: Eukaryota; Metazoa; Chordata; Mammalia; Rodentia; Muridae
Source: RefSeq, a predicted model, not a curated record